CAAAGCAGUGAUGCAGAGCAAAUCCCCAAAAGCAGUCUUAGUUCGGAUUGUAGGCUGCAACUCGCCUACAUGAAGUCGGAAUUGCUAGUAAUCGCGGAUCAGCAUGCCGCGGUGAAUACGUUCCCGGGCCUUGUACACACCGCCCGUCACACCAUGGGAGUCGGUAACACCCGAAGCCUGUAGUCUAACCGCAAGGAGGACGCAGUCGAAGGUGGGAUUGAUGACUGGGGUGAAGUCGUAACAAGGUACC
This 250-nucleotide ribosomal RNA is filed under the name uncultured bacterium. RNAcentral's name for it is "partial 16S ribosomal RNA". It matches the Rfam family "Bacterial small subunit ribosomal RNA", at positions 1250 to 1500 of the family's 1533-position model. The record is from RNAcentral.